CUCUUAUCAAGACUCGGUGGAGAGACGAGCUCUAUGAAGCCGGGGCAACCUGCAGUUUGAUUCCUUAUAAUGGAAAUCACGCAAAGGUGCUAACUUGAUGCAAGGUUAUAAUGCCUUGAACGAUGAGAG
This 129-nucleotide non-coding RNA is filed under the name Bacillus sp. (in: firmicutes). RNAcentral's name for it is "Bacillus sp. SAM-I sequence". It matches the Rfam family "SAM riboswitch aptamer (S box leader)". From Rfam's summary of the family: The SAM riboswitch is found upstream of a number of genes which code for proteins involved in methionine or cysteine biosynthesis in Gram-positive bacteria. The SAM riboswitch acts at the level of transcription termination control. The predicted structure consists of a complex stem-loop region followed by a single stem loop terminator region. Lineage: Bacteria; Bacillati; Bacillota; Bacilli; Caryophanales; Bacillaceae. RNAcentral also lists the same sequence under 1 other name. The record is from RNAcentral.